Molecule: long non-coding RNA, 235 nt
Filed under: Trifolium pratense (red clover)
Lineage: Eukaryota; Viridiplantae; Streptophyta; Magnoliopsida; Fabales; Fabaceae
Description: long non-coding RNA (TPRA_LNC006644)
Source: RNAcentral
UUGAAAGUUCAAAGUUCACACUUUUUUUGUGAAAAACUGAUUUUCAUUAGAUUCCUUUUUUUUGUUGGAUUUUGGGGAGAAGAUUCAAAAGGGUCAUUGAAUAUAUAGUUAAGUUUUGAUUUUGUUAAGUGGGUUGCAAUGGAAGAUGAAUGUAGAACACCAAGGUUGUUGCAGAAUCAGAUUCCGGCUGUUUUCAUUUGUCCACCGCCGCCGAGGAAGAAGCCGGUUCCUGGAA